RNAcentral lists this ribosomal RNA (492 nucleotides) under uncultured bacterium. RNAcentral describes it as "partial 16S ribosomal RNA". It matches the Rfam family "Bacterial small subunit ribosomal RNA", at positions 28 to 507 of the family's 1533-position model. The record is from RNAcentral.
GACGAACGCUGGCGGCGUGCUUAACACAUGCAAGUCGAACGGAAAGGCCCCCACUUUUUUGGUGGGGGUGCUCGAGUGGCGAACGGGUGAGUAACACGUGGGUGAUCUGCCCUGUACUUCGGGAUAAGCUUGGGAAACUGGGUCUAAUACCGGAUAGGACCAUGGUUUAGUGUCUCAUGGUGGAAAAAUUAUUGUUUUGGUGCAGGAUGAGCUCGCGGCCUAUCAGCUUGUUGGUGGGGUAAUGGCCUACCAAGGCGUCGACGGGUAGCCGGCCUGAGAGGGUGGACGGCUACAUUGGGACUGAGAUACGGCCCAGACUCCUACGGGAGGCAGCAGUGGGGAAUAUUGCACAAUGGGCGCAAGCCUGAUGCAGCGACGCCGCGUGGGGGAUGACGGCCUUCGGGUUGUAAACUCCUUUCGUUAGGGACGAAGCCGCACCUUUUUUGGGUGUGGUGACGGUACCUUUGUUAAGAAGCACCGGCUAACUACGUG